Molecule: long non-coding RNA, 1764 nt
Organism: Oncorhynchus masou masou (cherry salmon)
Lineage: Eukaryota; Metazoa; Chordata; Actinopteri; Salmoniformes; Salmonidae
Exons: 3
Source: RefSeq, a predicted model, not a curated record
UGUUUAGCAGAGGUGUAGUAGACUAGUAGAGGUGUACCAGGAACUAACAUCACCACUCUGUUCAUCUGGGUAGAGGAAAGUAGACAGGAGGGUAGUCAGGAGACGCUGUAGAAACUCUGAUACUGAUAGGUGAGAAUAAGGUGAAACAUGGAGCACUUCAAGCCAGCAUUUAACAGUCUGACCGACCAGCUGAGAAAAACAGCCAGUUUUACCGUGACCUUCUUCGCUCUUUUUCUUUACCAAGUUGUGUUGGAUGAGCACUUAAAAUGCUCAUGUAAAGACGGUGUGAAACCAGAGGUUACAAACAACCAGUGUAUCUUCUACAUGUUGUUUCCAGCUCUGAUCUUGGUUCUCUUGACUCUCUGGAUGGAUGGAGAGUUUCAACGAGUCUUGAGAAUUAUACGCAUAUGCAAAUGUAAUUUGUGGAGAAGAUUUUUCGCAAUGCUCUUUAAGGCGGUCGCUAUAGGGUCGCUGUGGGUUGUGUCUGUGCUUUUUGAUGGGGACUGGUACGUGUGCCUUAAAAGAGUGAUGCUUCCCUGCAGGAACAACACCACACCCUUCCAAGAGGAACUAGAAAAGCAACUCGAAGCUCAUUUCAAAACGGAGUCCAUGGUUAUUGGAUUGGUUCUGGUUCUGGGUCUGCUUGUUGUGACUUAUAUUCUGACUGCAGUACCUUGGAGGGAUAUCUGUUCUGUUAUACGCAGAAAAUGUACAAGGUACCAGAACAUUAACGAUUGCAGUACAAUCAAAAUGUAUCACAAGAUGCUUUAUGAGGAGAGCAUUUUGGAACAGAUAGACAUUGUUAUUGAAAAAGAGUUAAAGAAAACAGCUAAAGAGCAUGUAGUUCUUAAAAUCAGAGAACUACUACCGCCCUCUUCGACUGCAGCCCCUCCAACCCCCGCCACACAGGGAGGAGACGGGGCAAGCAGCAGCACCAUCCGUCCUGAGUUGGAAGAAAGUAGGAGCAGCACCAAUCCAGAGGUGGAAGAUAGAGUGAUCACCCUUGACAACCUUGAUUUUGACAGGAUAUCUACGCUACAUUCUCAAAUAAUCUGCUCGAUGUUCCCAGAACAAACACAUUCAGGGAACGAUAACUGAAGAAGUGGCCAGAUGCCACUACUUGAGGAAGGCUCUCAACCCUAACUUUGGUGUAAUAUAUUUAGCAUCAAAUAUGUAAUGUUAUAUAUACAUUAAUAGUAUGAUACACUGUAUGUGAACCGUUUGUGAAAACUGUGGCUUUCAAGUGAAAUACUCAAAUCAGUCACACAAAAAUGAACUGUAGUGAGUAGCGACCAUGUGUUUAUAAGGAUACAUCUGUCUCACAAUAAACUGUGUUUCUGGUUAAGGUGGCAGCAGUAGUUUGGUACAAUACAACUAGAAUGGGUUAUAGGAGGGGGAGUGAACAACUGUGGGUGAUAAACCUUAACAACUACACUGUAUAAGUCUGUAUAAUGUCACAGGGUGGUAAUGUGAGCCGGGUAGCAAAAAUGAGCCUGUUAGAACACAGUGAUGGUUGACAGAGCUGUUCUAAAUCAUCUUUAUUUCUAGACUAUAAACAAUGUAACCUUCAUUAAUGAAUGUGUUAAUAUAACCAGUGAAAUAUUGUUUUUGUCUUUUUGUUCAUAUGUUGUUACUGUUGAUUAUAUUCUGCCUUUAUGUCUACCUUUAACUAAAAAAUAUAUUUAUAUAUAAUAUUACUAACAAUCUUUAUUUCCUCCUGUCUUCAAUGUACCACAUUUGUUCGCUUUGCAUUUCUAUACAUGU